GAAAAAUAUUAUGGAAAAUAUUCUUGACAAUAUUUCUAUCUUUAACACUUAACAUGCAUAAUAUUAUGGACACUCAGUUAGCUUCAAGCACAUGUGGUGAGGAAGUGAAUCAAUUUUAAUGAAACAUGUUUAUGUGCACCUCGAUUUGCUAUUCUGUUAUUCCAUCUAAUCUUGCAGUUGUUAAUUUUCUUGGUCAUUCUCUAGUUCUUCAAAAUGUUGUUAUAUGCUGUACUUUUUAUAACAACUUUCAAGAAUAUAAUAUAUUAUUAUAUGGUGUUCCUGUAUUUUUUUUCUAACAAACCAGUACCUUUAUUUAUAUUACCCAUAAACAUGAACAGUCUUAACUGCUGUAGGUAUGGUAUUCAAUGUUAAAUCCUAACCACCGAGCAAAACAUGUCGCUGCCUCCUCUUCUCUAAGGUUAACUUACUUAUAUUUCUCAAUUGUUUCAGUUUCCUUAAAAGCUUUUUGGAUGUCCAUUUCUUUGAGACGUACAUGUUUAAUGAUGAAAGAACAUCUGUUAUGUAAAACUUUCUCCAGAAUAUAAUAUAUUUAAAAACCCAACUAUCCAUUAACUCAACAAAUAGUUGUGACAUUAUGUACAAAAUUGUUGUUAUAAUAAGUCAUAUUACAUUUCCAAAUGCACUUGUCUGAAUGUGACGGUUCAUCAUGGUUGGAUCCUUGUUUGGUGCUGAAAACCCGGCUCAAUUUUAGUUUAGUAGUAGGAUUGAGAGUCAUUUAGCCUCCAUUUGGCAAGCUUUAUAAAUUAAUUUGUAAAUGGUCAAAUUUUAUUUUUAACCACACAUUUUAAUGGAUAACCACUCUAUCUAUUUAUAUACUCCCUCCAUCUCAUUUAUAUAGGUUGACUUUUUUAUUUUUUUGUUCCAAUUAUAUAGUUAUUUUUUUUAUUGAGAAUGUUUUGUUUAGUUUGUCUACUAAUAUGCUCUUAUUCAAUUUGCUUAGUUAUAACCAAUUUUUUUUACCUAAUCUUGAAAUUGUACAAAUAAAGGUAAAAAUUGCCUUUUUAAUAACAUUCAAUAAGAUUUCUUAAUUCGUGGGAAAAACAAUACCAACCUAUAUAAAUGCUAUAGGAGUGUCAAAUUGUGUAUAAAUUCUUUCCAAACGGCCUAUUUGUUCUAUAAGCUCUAACUUGAGAGGUCCUCAUUACCACUGAAUAAGCAAUGCAACAAUGACACGAGUAACUAGUAUUUCCAAUACUCUUAAGUGAUUGUUAACAAAAAAAAUUCACAGAAUGAAAAUAUUAUCAUUCAAUGAGAUAAUUUUGGUGCAUGCACGUAAUUUGAUUUUUAUCUUUGGAACAUGCACGGCAAAAUAACUAAAUGAGCAACACACAGGUCUUGGCCACACACAGACCAGCCAAAAGUUGCAACAAGACUUAACUGAAUUUUCGUCGUUAUACACCUGGAACAGACGUUCAAUAUUCCUGGAAUGGACACUCAGUUAGCUUCAAGCACAUGUGGUAAGGAAGUGAAUCAAUUUUAAUGAAACUAUGUUUAUGUGCACCUCGAUUUGCUAUUUUGUUAUUCCAUCUAAUCUUGCAGUUGUUAAUUUUCUUGGUCAUUCUCUAGUUCUUCAAAAUGUUAUAUGCUGUACUUUUUAUAACAACUUUCAAGAAUAUAAUAUAUUAUUAUAUGGUGCUCCUGUAUUUUUUUUAUUACAAACCAGUACCUUUAUUUUAUAUUACCCAUAAACAUGAACAAUCUCAAUUGCUGUAGGUAUGGUAUUCAAUGUCAAAUCCUAACUACCAAGCAAAACAUGUCGCUGGCACCUCUUCUCUAAUGUUAAUUUACUUAAAUUUCUCAAUUGUUUCUGGUUCCUUAAAAGCUUUUUGGAUGCCCACUUCUUUGAGACGUACACCUUUAACGAUGAAAGAACAUCUGUUAUGUAAAACUUUUUCCAGUAUAUAAUAUUUUUAAAAAC
This 1939-nucleotide long non-coding RNA is filed under the name Olea europaea subsp. europaea. Lineage: Eukaryota; Viridiplantae; Streptophyta; Magnoliopsida; Lamiales; Oleaceae. The record is from RNAcentral.